Molecule: ribosomal RNA, 1749 nt
Filed under: Triticum aestivum (bread wheat)
Lineage: Eukaryota; Viridiplantae; Streptophyta; Magnoliopsida; Poales; Poaceae
Description: partial small subunit ribosomal RNA
Source: RNAcentral
AUGCUUUCGUCGGGUACACCUCUUCAUCGCUGCUCGAUGUUUUUUGGCGGUGUUCCAUACAUUGAUCCUGUCUCGCACAUGCGUCUUUCCUCGGUGCUUGGUGCUCGCCCGUUUGGAGACGGUGGUUGUCGCUCUACUUCGACACCUUUUGCGACUUCCACCAGUGUUGUUGGCCGCUCUACAUCGACUCCUCUUGCGGCUUCCGCGCGCGGUGGUCACCGCUCUACGUCUACUCCUCUCGCGGCUUCCGCGCGCGGCGGUGACCGCUCAACGUCGACUCCUCUCGCGGCUUUCGCGCGCGAUGGUGAUCACUCUAUGUCGACUCCCCCAGUGGCUUCCACAUAUGGCUCUACGUCGACUCGCCACUCUCGGUCGAUUCUACACGCGGCUUCCACGGGUGGUGAAGACUGCUUAUUAUCAGCAGGUGUUUCUACCUCGACCUCUUCCGCCGUGUCCCUGUCUCCACAUGAGAUUGCGCAGUUGCAAUCUCUGCUUGCUACUUGGGAUUCUUCACCGACAAGUUCUGCAAGUUCCUUGACUGUCUCUUCUGGCACUGAGAAACCACCUUCUACUCAUUCAGGUACAUCCCCAUGGAUUCUUGAUACUGGAGCAUCUGUUCAUAUGACAUAUGAUUCUUCCAUUUUGACCUCCGUUCGACCUGUUGAGUCUCCUGUUCGUGUUCUUACAGCUGAUGUCACUCCCUUGCAUGUAGCUAGUCGAGGCACUCUUAGCACUUCUUUAUUUCAUGUUCCCUCUGUCGCUCAUGUUUCUGGACUUACCAUGCAGCUCAUAUCUGGUGGUCAGAUUGUGGACUCUAGUUGUAGGGUCAUCCUUGACUUUGAUUCAUGUUCCGUCCAGGAUCGUCGCACGGGCACUCUACUUGGUGCUGGCCCUCGACGCUCUGAUGGUCUUUGGGAGCUUGACUGGCUACGUCUUCCUUCCGCUGCCACCACUGCCAGUCUCGUAGCCCCUGUUGCUACAUCUACUAGCUCUUUUCAGCAGUGGCAUCAUCGUCUUGGCUAUUUAUGUGGUUCUCGUCUCUUGUCUUUGGUUCAUCGUGGUGUUCUGGGGUCUGUCUCCGGUAACGCUUCGUUAGAUUGUCUGGGUUGUAGGCUUGGUAAGCAGAUUCAGCUACCCUAUCCUCACAGUGAGUCGGUGUCCGAGCGCCCUUUUGACCUCGUUCACUCUGAUGUUUGGGGUCCGGCUCCCUUUGCUUCAAAAGGGGGUCACCGCUACUAUAUUAUCUUUAUAGACGAUUUUUCAUGGUACACUUGGAUCUAUUUCAUGUCUUCUCGUAGUGAGGUCUUAUCUAUAUACAAAAAAUUUGCUGCCAUGGUUCAAACCCAGUUUUCCACUCCUAUUCGUGUUUUUCGCGCAGAUUCAGCUGGUGAGUAUAUCUCCCAUGCGAUGCGAGGAUUCCUUGCUGAGCAAGGUACUCUUCCUCAGUUUUCUUGCCCUGGUGCUCAUGCUCAGAAUGGUGUGGCUGAGCGCAAACACCGUCACCUUCUUGAGACGACACGUGCGAUGAUGAUCGCCGCCUCUCUUCCGCCUCACUUCUGGGCUGAGGCUGUUACCACUUCCACGUAUCUCAUUAACAUUCAGCCAUCUGCUGCUCUACAGGGUGGCAUUCCUCUCGAGCGUCUUUCUGGUCGUUCUCCUGAUUAUUCGGUGCUUCGCUUGUUUGGUUGCGUUUGCUAUGUUUUGCUUGCCCCUCGUGAACGCACCAAACUGACUGCUCAGUCUGUUUGA